Beta vulgaris subsp. vulgaris (sugar beet) is the source of this 1949-nucleotide long non-coding RNA. RefSeq lists it as uncharacterized. The transcript has 2 exons. The record is from RefSeq and is a predicted model, not a curated record. NCBI's taxonomy places the organism in Eukaryota, Viridiplantae, Streptophyta, Magnoliopsida, Caryophyllales, Amaranthaceae.
AAAAAAUGGUCAAAAUAUGUAAUUAUUUCAAAAGGAGAAAAAUGUGCUUGGUCAUACAUUAUUAGUUUAGGAAUAUACUUCAUACGGUGAUUUGUUUCGCAAAGCAUGCAAGUUGUUGUGUUGGUUAUGUUUGACUUAUGACUUAGGGAAUUGAAUGUUCAUAUACUGCGUUAGUGGUGGAAAAAACUUGGUUAACUCAUCGGGUAGACUACCAACCCCAUAAUAUAAGGUUGUGGUAAUUAUGAUAGUGGAAUCCAAGUAGACUUAAAUACUAAUAUUUUGAUUGUCUAUUAAUAGCGGGUAGUCUACCCGGUGGGUUACUCAAGCAAUGUCCGUUAGUGGUUACGCUUUGGUACAGGGCUCCUGAACUUCUUCUUGGAGCUAAAGGGUAUUCAACGGCUCUUGAAAUGUGGUCUGUGGGGGGUAUUCAGAGUGUAUGAAAGUGUCCUAAAGUGUCGGAAACGUUUAAAGUGUCGGAAACUCGACAAGUUGACCCAAAGAGAGUGUUCGUGCAUCAUAGCUUAUAUAUAUAUGUUCUUGUCAUGGAGUUUUGAUACUUGUGCUUAGUCUGGUUUCCUCAUAUUGAUACAGUGGUUCCAGGAGGUUCCUCUUCCCAAUUCCAGGGAGUUACUUCCUCUCUCUUGUGCUUUUACAGAUGUUCAUGGGGCUGGGUGCUUUGUGUUGGAGGCUGCUGCAGUGGUUAUCCAUUGUGCUGCUGCAUUGAUCAUACAUUGAUGGUUUUGUCUAUUAAUAUCGGAAGUAACAGAUUUUUUUUGACUGAUUAUACCUCUUAGUGAAUUGGCUUUACCACCAUUAUGUCCUUUGCUCUUACAGAUUUGAGCUAUUUUGGAAGAUUGGACAUAUAUGCUGCCCCAUAACGCGGUUCGUUUAGACUUUGCAUCUGGGAAUGAGUUUCCUGUUUGACCUCAAAUAAUCUCACAGGCAGCUGCUUGAACGUGUAAGGUGUGAAGUAGCAGUUCCUUACUCUGCUGAUCAUAUCUUUGCAAGAAUUGCUGUAUGUUAUCAAAGGGGUACUGGAAAUAGUUUACAUCAUGCCUCAGCUACAGGAGAAACUUUCAAGCUUUUAGGUAGUAGUAUUACUAACAGUCAGAUUGAAGAUGUGGCAGUGCAAUUCUGAAGCUGUUUUGUGAAACUGUUAUGUUUAUGCAUUGCUUUUCAAUAUCUUGCUUUUUUUCCUGCAUUCUCUUCCCAGGUUUAACACAUUCGAAGAUACUCAAGGGUAUCUUCAUUUGAACAGCAGUGAUUGUGAUCCAAACUGAGGCUUCUUUUUUUAAAUGGUUAUACAUGGGAAACAUCAUCUGUGUUAGUUGAGACCUAUGUUACUCAGACACGGAUUGAUGAGUGUCUACACGGAUACGGGUGUCCAAGUGUCCGACUCGGCUAUUUUGUAGAAAAAAGACAAGUUUUUAGUUAAAAUUGAAGUAUCCAAUUAAAGUGUCGUGUCGGACACGCCACGACACCCUGUUUUUGAGGUAAAUGAAGGUGUCGGAGUUAACACUGGUUGAGACUCUGGUGGUUGAAUUUAGUUUGCUAGAACAUUAGCACUAUCCACUAAGAUGUAUCAAACUUUUCCUAUGGUCUUGCAUCUGAAAUGCAGCAUUGAAGUUCCAAGGUGUUGAAACUAUGUGCAAUUAAUGGCUCUAAUACUUGUAUUAAGUUGCCAAUCCUUUUGUGUACUCAAUCAUGUUUAUGUUGGAUGAGGGAUCUUCAUGAGAGAUGGAGUUACCAGUGGAUCCAAUGCAGCUUUCUACAUUAAUAAUGAGGAGUACUGCUUGUUCAUUUUACUCGCACUAAGAGUUAUGUAGUGGUGGCUGAUCAUAUGCUUUUUACAUUCUGUAAUUUGAAGUUGAUCAGGGGUUGUUGAACUUUGCUCAACUAAAUUGUUGUAGGCCAAAGCUCUUUUGCUAUGAUAAUUGUUUUAGCUUUCA